Molecule: unclassified non-coding RNA, 21 nt
Filed under: Chlamydomonas reinhardtii
Lineage: Eukaryota; Viridiplantae; Chlorophyta; Chlorophyceae; Chlamydomonadales; Chlamydomonadaceae
Description: small RNA Cre_2911
Source: RNAcentral
UGAGCCCAGGCGUGCACCUAG